Molecule: ribosomal RNA, 579 nt
Filed under: uncultured bacterium
Lineage: Bacteria
Description: bacterial SSU rRNA
Rfam family: Bacterial small subunit ribosomal RNA
Source: RNAcentral
CCUACGGGAGGCAGCAGUGAGGAAUAUUGGACAAUGGGCGAAAGCCUGAUCCAGCAAUACCGCGUGAGUGAAGAAGGCCUUAGGGUUGUAAAGCUCUUUCAGCAGGGAAAAUAAUGAUGGUACCUGCAAAAGAAGUCCCGGCUAACUCCGUGCCAGCAGCCGCGGUAAUACGGAGGGGACUAGCGUUGUUCGGAUUUACUGGGCGUAAAGGGCGCGUAGGCGGUCUGUUAAGUUAGAAGUGAAAGCCUGGGGCUUAACCCCAGAACUGCUUCUAAAACUGGCAAACUAGAGUACGGGAGAGGAUAGUGGAAUUCCUAGUGUAGAGGUGAAAUUCUUAGAUAUUAGGAGGAACACCGGUGGCGAAAGCGACUAUCUGGAACGUUACUGACGCUGAGGCGCGAAAGCGUGGGGAGCAAACAGGAUUAGAUACCCUGGUAGUCCACGCUGUAAACGAUGAAUGCUAGAUAUCGGAUUUAUUCGGUGUCGAAGAUAACUUGAUAAGANAUCUCGUGGAGUACGUCGCAGAUAAACUUAAAUAGUAUAGACGCGNGAGANCGACGACGACGACGACGAGGAGAG